RNAcentral lists this transfer RNA (72 nucleotides) under Mus musculus (house mouse). RNAcentral describes it as "tRNA-Asn". The record is from RNAcentral. Lineage: Eukaryota; Metazoa; Chordata; Mammalia; Rodentia; Muridae.
GGUGAGAUGGCUCAGUGGGUAAGAGCAUCCGACUAUUCUUCCGAAGGUCAGGAGUUCAAAUCCCAGCAACCA